UGAGCAACCUGCCCUUAGCUCUGGGAUAACCCCGGGAAACCGGGGCUAAUACCGGAUAUGAGUCCGAGCGGCAUCACGCGGACUGGAAAGUUUUUCGGCUAAGGAUGGGCUCGCGGCCUAUCAGCUUGUUGGUGGGGUAAUGGCCUACCAAGGCGACGACUGGUAGCCGGCCUGAGAGGGUGACCGGCCACACUGGGACUGAGACACGGCCCAGACUCCUACGGGAGGCA
RNAcentral lists this ribosomal RNA (230 nucleotides) under uncultured bacterium. RNAcentral's name for it is "partial 16S ribosomal RNA". It matches the Rfam family "Bacterial small subunit ribosomal RNA", at positions 118 to 350 of the family's 1533-position model. The record is from RNAcentral.